CCUACGGGUGGCAGCAGUGAGGAAUAUUGGUCAAUGGCCGGAAGGCUGAACCAGCCAUGCCGCGUGAAGGUCAGUGCCCUUUGGGCGUUAAACUUCUUUUGUGCGGGAGCAAUAAUGGUCACGUUUGGCCAGACGAGAGUACCGUACGAAUAAACAUCGGCUAACUCCGUGCCAGCAGACGCGGUAAUACGGGGGAUGCAAGCGGUAUCCGGAUUUAUUGGGGUUAAAGGGGUCGUAGGCUGUGAAGUAAGUCAGAGGUGAAAUGCCCCCGCUCAACGGGGUGACGUGCCAUUGAUACUGCCUUGCUGGAAUGCGCAUGAAGUAGGAGGAAUGUGUGGUGUAGCGGUGAAAUGCAUAGAUAUCACACAGAACACCGAUUGCGAAGGCAUCUCACGAACCCGCGAUUGACGCUGAUGCACGAAAGCGUGGGUAUCAAACAGGAUUAGAUACCCUUGUAGUC
RNAcentral lists this ribosomal RNA (460 nucleotides) under uncultured bacterium. RNAcentral describes it as "partial 16S ribosomal RNA". It matches the Rfam family "Bacterial small subunit ribosomal RNA", at positions 338 to 795 of the family's 1533-position model. The record is from RNAcentral.